AAGUCGUAACAAGGUUUCCGUAGGUGAACCUGCGGAAGGAUCAUUAGUGAAUAAACAAGUGCAGGUUGUGCUGGCCUUCUUGGUAUGUGCACGCCUGCCAAUGUUUCAUUCUAUCUUCCCACCUGUGCACUAUGUGUAGAUCUGUAUGCUAUUGUCAAGUCUUUUACUAAGCUUGGUUGAGAGGAGUUGCUUGUUCCAUUGGACAAGCUCUUCUUGAGUAUGCAGGUCUAUGUUUUAUAUCAACACCAUAUGAAUGUAAUAGAAUGUGCUUUGGGCUUUUAGCCUUUAAAACAUAUACAACUUUCAACAACGGAUCUCUUGGCUCUC
RNAcentral lists this unclassified non-coding RNA (327 nucleotides) under Pluteus petasatus. RNAcentral describes it as "partial internal transcribed spacer region". The stretch from base 1 to 46 matches the Rfam family "Eukaryotic small subunit ribosomal RNA", at positions 1786 to 1831 of the family's 1831-position model. Lineage: Eukaryota; Fungi; Basidiomycota; Agaricomycetes; Agaricales; Pluteaceae. The record is from RNAcentral.